This 485-nucleotide ribosomal RNA is filed under the name uncultured bacterium. Its description in RNAcentral is "bacterial SSU rRNA". It matches the Rfam family "Bacterial small subunit ribosomal RNA", at positions 501 to 985 of the family's 1533-position model. The record is from RNAcentral.
CUACGUGCCAGCAGCCGCGGUAAUACGUAGGUCCCGAGCGUUGUCCGGAUUUAUUGGGCGUAAAGCGAGCGCAGGCGGUUAGAUAAGUCUGAAGUUAAAGGCUGUGGCUUAACCAUAGUACGCUUUGGAAACUGUUUAACUUGAGUGCAAGAGGGGAGAGUGGAAUUCCAUGUGUAGCGGUGAAAUGCGUAGAUAUAUGGAGGAACACCGGUGGCGAAAGCGGCUCUCUGGCUUGUAACUGACGCUGAGGCUCGAAAGCGUGGGGAGCAAACAGGAUUAGAUACCCUGGUAGUCCACGCCGUAAACGAUGAGUGCUAGGUGUUAGACCCUUUCCGGGGUUUAGUGCCGCAGCUAACGCAUUAAGCACUCCGCCUGGGGAGUACGCCGGCAACGGUGAAACUCAAAGGAAUUGACGGGGGCCCGCACAAGCGGAGGAACAUGUGGUUUAAUUCGAUGAUACGCGAGGAACCUUACCCGGGCUUGAA